AGGACGAACGCUGGCGGCGUGCUUAACACAUGCAAGUCGAGCGAGGCCCUCUCUUCGGAGAGGUGCCCUAGCGGCGAACGGGUGAGUAACACGUGGGCAACCUGCCCCUAGCACUGGGAUAAGCCCGGGAAACCGGGUCUAAUACCGGAUAUGACCUUCAAGGGCAUCCUCGAAGGUGUAAAGGAUUCUGGCUAGGGAUGGGCCCGCGGCCUAUCAGCUUGUUGGUGGGGUAAUGGCCCACCAAGGCAACGACGGGUAGCCGGCCUGAGAGGGCGACCGGCCACACUGGGACUGAGACACGGCCCAGACUCCUACGGGAGGCAGCAGUGGGGAAUAUUGCACAAUGGGCGAAAGCCUGAUGCAGCGACGCCGCGUGAGGGAUGACGGCCUCGGGUUGUAAACCUCUUCUAGCUCCGACGAAGCGAAAGUGACGGUAGGAGCAGAAGAAGCACCGGCCAACUACGUGCCAGCGGCCGC
This 477-nucleotide ribosomal RNA is filed under the name uncultured bacterium. RNAcentral describes it as "SSU rRNA". It matches the Rfam family "Bacterial small subunit ribosomal RNA", at positions 26 to 518 of the family's 1533-position model. The record is from RNAcentral.